This 653-nucleotide long non-coding RNA is filed under the name Lotus japonicus. Its description in RNAcentral is "long non-coding RNA (LJAP_LNC000734)". The record is from RNAcentral. Lineage: Eukaryota; Viridiplantae; Streptophyta; Magnoliopsida; Fabales; Fabaceae.
UAAAACUCAAUUUUUUUCAUUAAUACUAAUAACAUUUUUUUUUCAUUCAAGUACGAGGCAUUUUAUUCAUAGUAAUAAUCAAAUGUGUCUACAAAGAUAGCCUCAGCCAAAGCUCUAGGGGGAUUGACCCACCAGAAUUUUGAAGGAAAAUCAAAAGAAAUGGAAGCUAAAACAUGAGCAGCAUUGUUUAAUUUUCUCUUCUAUUAACAUGUCUAAGCAUCAAGGAAUUAAAGGAUCUCAUGAUAUGUAUGCAAUCAGCUAUGAUAGGAUCAAUGUCUGGCCUGCUGCACUUUGAGUGGAUUGCAUUUAUAACAAUCUGAGAAUCCGACUCAAAUAUUGCAUCUUCAAUUUGCAUAUCCGUUGUAGUCUUCAAACUCCAUUGAAGCUCCAUAGCCUCUGCAAUCGUUGGAUCCGAUUGAUAAGGCUCAAUAGACGAUGCUGCCACCAUUAGCUGUGAGUCGUGUGAUCACGCAACCAUCCCAAAACCGGUGGAGGAAGAGCCCAUCCAUCCCGCGUCCACGUUAAUACCGACAACUAAUAACUAAUAAGCUAAGAGUAAUGUUAUAUGAAAGUAAGGGAGUGCACUGACUAAUUGUUGCAAAGCAUCAAGUGUCAUCUAAUCUUUCAUAUUAUAACUAGCGGGAUUACCCGUG